CCCAGGCCUUCUGGUUGAUGUGCCCUAGUUUUACUGGGUGAACUGGCCUUUGCCCGGGGCCUCCAUCUCACACACCUUAGCUUCCGGGCCCCCCCCUGCUGCUGUGGAUGACCGUCCAGUGGGGACAGGGUCCAGUCGCCCCAACACGAGUUCCUCAGAGAUCUCUCUGCCUCCAGAGGUCCCACAACCAAGUCUUUUUCAGAUCCCAGAAGAGUCAGGAUGCUUCUAGAGCAAUUCCAGGCACAAAUGACCAACAACACGGGAGGCCAUCCACAUGGAAACACCCUGUGAAGAUCUAGUGUCUCCUGCCCCAUCUGGACCCCUCCGAGCACCCCAACUACCCCUACUCCCCUUGCUCCCCAGAGACAUGACCCUCCAGCCCCUCAGAAACGUCUGGGGCUGGAUUCCUGAGCUCCUCACUGCGAUUCCAAACACUGACCGUAGAUAUCCACACUUCUUGCAGAACGAGAAGCAAAAUUUUAGCAUAACUAAUUUUAAUUUUUCUAACAUUUGCAGUUAUCCAGACAUUUUUAUCCAUUUAUAGUAAUCAUACUGUUCUUCUUUGUUAAAGUAAAUUUCACUUAAAACUAGUUUAAAAUAGGUCAAUGGAGCGUUCUAUGGGCAAGUGAGCCCAUAGAACCUUAUUUAAUAGUCUUAAGUUCAGUUACAUCAUUAAAAUUUAGAAAUUUUUGCAAUAUUAUUCUUAAUUCUGGUAAAAUACACAUAAAAUAGAAAACACCAUCUUUAAGUGUACAGUUCAGUGGUAUUAGCUACAGUCUCAUUGCUGUGCAACCAUCACUAACAUCCAUCUCCAGAACUUUCUCCUCUUGCAAAACUGAUAUCCGGUCACCGUUAAAUCCUAACUUCCCCUCCCCUCCCCCAGCCCUGGCACCCACCAUUCCUCUUCCUACCGUUCUACAUCAUGUGGCUCCUCCAGGGACCUCGUAUAAGUGGAAGCACACAGUAUUUGUCCUUUGUGACUGGCUUUCUACGGAGCAUCAUGUGCUCAAGGUCCAUCGGUGUUGUAACAGGUGUGAGAAUUUUCUUCCUUUUUAAGUCUGAACACUAUUCCGUUGCACUGACGGACACGUGGAUUGCCUCCACACUUUAGCUAUUUGUCAAGGGUGGAAUUUGGAGCAAGGAACAAGCUCUGAGUCCUCAGACCUGGCAGUAACUAAUGGCUAGGACUCUACUCAGGCAGAUGUUGCUGCAACUGUCCUAGUAAAGGACGCAGCCACUGUCCUGCUGUGACCGCACUGCGAUGAGCACAGGUUUCCAAGUAUCUGUUCAAGACCUUGCUUCCAAUUCUUUUGGAAAAAUACCUGGAAGUGGAAUUGCUGGAUCAUGUGAUAAUUCUAUGUUUAAUUUUUUGAGGAACCUCAAAGCAUCUGUACCAUUUUACAUUCCCACCAACUGUGCACCAGAUUCUGUUUUUCUGUUUUGUUUUGUUUUGUUUUGUUGCGGUACGCGGGCCUCUCACUGCUGUGGCCUCUCCCGUUGCGGAGCACAGGCUCCGGACGCGCAGGCUCAGCGGCCAUGGCUCACGGGCCCAGCUGCUCUGCGGCACGUGGGAUCUUCCCGGACCGGGGCAUGAACCCGCGUCCCCUGCAUCGGCAGGCGGACUCUCAACCACUGCGCCACCAGGGAAGCCCCGAUUCUAUUGUUUUUAACAUGCCAGUUUUGUGUAUGACUUUCAUACUAAAUGUUAGUUUAUGUUAUAUAUUGCUUUCAUUUUUAUAUAAAUUUUCUCCAGAGUAAGUCCUGAGUCCCGUUACAUCAAAUGUGACUUUAAGAAAAUAAUUAAUUUAACAUUAUUUAAUGUCAGUAAAAAUAGCUAAAUAAUAUAGUAAGGAAAAACCUCUAAUGUGUGACCUUUAUCAAGGGAAGAUGCAGGACAGAGUGUAUUUGGAAAAGCUACUGCUGAGAUGACAGCCACGCCAAGCUGAGGGUGUGGACAGCAGGGCUCCGGGGCCGCUGACUCAGGCUAGGGGUGGACUGUUCUGCACUCAGAAGGCCUCCCCGGCUGGUCUCGAUGCACAGCAGUACUUCUGCACACACCACCAGCAAGGGGCAGGGUGUUGCUGUCAUUGGGUGCUGCCUAAAUCUCUCUUGUUGAAAUAUAAUGUUCGUAUUUUAUCAGCAUCAUAAAGCAAUUAUACAUUUUCAAGCAAUGAGCAAGUGUACCAUAAGUAAACGUGAUUGGUUCUUCUGCCUUCCUCAGAAAGCAGUAUUAAAAAUAAUGUAUUUAUAUCGAACUUUUAAUUUUUAACUAGAUCUCAUUUCAUUAUCCCAUUUUUAUAAUAACCAUUGGAGUUUGAUAGGAAUUAUUUUCAUUUUCCAAAUACUUGACAAAGGCUGUGUCACAGUGAGAGGAGUGAUGAAAUUUCAUCUUGGAAAACCCAUUUUAAUGCAUUCUUUUCACAUACCAAAUUCAUAGGUUUAAUCAGGUUGAGAGGAACUGGCUUUUGUCAGGUAGAUGUGAAGGACAUUGUUGCACCAGGCUUCCUAAGAUGCUUUCACCAGGAUAAAGACUGCUGGGAUGGCACAGGUGGUGUGUCUGCUGGUGGAACCAGCAUUGGAGGUGGGAGGGGUGAUGCUUGUGACAUGGAGGGUAGAAACCAGGGGGUGGAGGGCAUCCUUGCUGAGAGAAAAAGACCCCACAGGAGGCUUCUGAGGAGGCCAGACUGGAGAGGUGACCUCCUGAGGGCCGUGGGAAGACAUCUCAUACAUGACAACCAGUGGUUUCAAAAGCAUCUGGUGCAUUGUGGAAGGAGGUGAGCCAGACCAUCGUCUUGACCCCAUUAGGAUUUUGCUAGGCAGGCAUUCCCCAUCUUACGGGCAGGUAGGCUGAGGCAGCCUCCUGUGAAGGCCUUGUUCCAGGUGGGCUGCCUGGAGGAGGCAGGAUGGUGAGGCAGCCUGCUGGCAAGCGCUUGGCAGGGGAAGUGGCACUGCUCUCCAGGGAGCCUGGCCUGGGAUGGAAAAGUAGGAAGAGACGUUCCCCAUCGUUAGAUGGCUGCUGUGCAGCCUGACGGUUGGCUUUUCUUUGUGAUUCAAGAGCCUGACUGAAGCACCCACCUCAAAGAGGGCAUCUGCUCCCCUGCAGGAGGUCUCCAGCAAACACACCGUGGCCACACUAGCGAGAGCCAGGCCGCUUCCUCUCAGAGGCUCCUCUGUUUGGAGGAUCCUGGUUGAUUUUGAUAACUGACCGUUUGGGCCACUUGUUUUUUCCUCUUCUCAUGCUUUACAUUCCUAUUCCUAUGUUUUAUCAAUAAAUUCACCAAUAAAGAGUGAGGCCUUGAAACCCUGGGCUCCCACCCUCAACCCCAAGAAAAGCAGAACCCAGGCCCAUGCAUUCUUUCUCUCUCUCUCUCUCACUCUCUCUACCUGUGACCUCGCUGUGUGGCCCCAGGUGUCCUGGGGUCCUGUAAAUAGUAAACCUUUAUUUUUUUCAAAGUUUCCUGAAGAUUUUUGCUGAAGGAUGUCUUGCGAUCAUAAUAAGAACCACAAGGGCCAGUGCAACCACAACAUUGAUUAUUGAUAGGCUGAGAUCAACACAAUAAAUUGGUGUAGUGAUUGCACUUGGAAUUAACCAAGGGUGAUGCUCUUUACCUGCAACUUGCUUAACAACCAUCUGACUCAGGUGAGUAACACCAUCUGGGGAAGGACCACUGCUUGGCGGGGGUUGCAAGCUGCUAUGUGCUUCUGCUUAUUAUCGCCUCUGUCGUGUGUUCCCGGUGGUGUUGAUCCAAAGAUCACGGCUGCCAUAACCAUCGGACACUCUCCCAAGAGCAGUGUGAUCAAGGCCAUCUGUCUAAUGACUAACUAUAACGGCCUUAGUUGACUAUUAAUGUGGGGAGGGUUCUCCAUGCCUUGAGGCCAAGAGGUGGAUUGGAUGGCAAGGCUAUUGUCAUGGUCCAAGGAGAGGCUCUGGGCUAAAGGACGUGAGGACAGGAUUCCGCAGGUGAGCAGGACGAGAGACCUCUGCCUUCAACCUCUGACUCAGUGAGUUGCGCCCGGACUACGUGUCCUAACCCAGAAGAGUGAAGUAACCUUGUACCCAGAAGCCAGUGGCACCACCGCUGACCCAGUGGGAUAUUAUGGAUCCAGUCCCUGGUGUGAUGUUGCUAAAAAAUAAUGGACAAAUAUAACGUCCGGAACACCUGGUGCCAGCACUUCCUAUGAACCCUGAGGAGGUGCAUCAGCUCCUUGACAAAUGCAAAACACCAUGGAAGGCUCCUGGGUGUUGCUCUGUGCAGGCCUGGCGGCCUUUCCCAAAGACUCUCUGCAUUGCCCAAUGGAGGCAGACCCCAAUCCCGGAGAGGUGUCUUGGGACACCCUGGAGAGGAAAGAGGCCGCCUAUGAAGGGGGCUCACAGUGACAUCAUCCCGAAUGUUCCAGUGGCAACACAGAAGAUUCAGGUAACAGGACAAAAUCAAAUAGGAACUGAGAUCAGAAACUACACCUUAGUUAAAAUGCAAACUUUUAUUGAAGAUUUUAUGCAGCAGAAAGGAGAGAGGGGAAUGAAUUGGCUCUUGUGGGAUUUUUUGUUUGUUUGGAAUGAGCUCUUAUUAUUCACAGCUGCCAGAGUGCACCAACUCGCUGGUAUCUCUAAACAUCUUAAACCCUAUAACAUUCUUAAAGUUCCUGUAAUUAGGAGGAGUAGCCUGUAAAAGUAAAUCUCUGGACUCAAGGUCAAAUAGGCCCUCCUCAGGGUUGGAAAUAAAGAGGGGGUCAUUAGGGUCACUACUGUCACGGAAAUGAUAAACCCAUUGGGCUUCUAAGGGUUAAGAAUUCUAAGUAAUAUAUGUUAUUAAAACGUCUAGAAAUAAGGAAACGUCUACACGCAAGGAAAAUAGAUGUGUUUUUGGGUACGAAACGUAUGAAGAUUUUUUUUUUUUUUAAGUAAAAAGAAAAUAAAUUUGUCCUAAAGUAAAACUGGUUAUUUCAGAAUGGGAAAUAGGAAAAUAAAGGACAAAAUGGGGUAUACAGUUGGGAAGAGAGAGAGAAAAAGAAUUUUAUCUUGUGUAGCAAAGUUGGGUAAACUUGGAUCAUUAUUAUAAGGUGGGUGUUUUUUUUUUUUUUUAACCUAAGUUUUAAUAGCAAUAGUAUGCUUAUGUAAUUUUCUUUCAUCAGCUGAAAGGACAAAGUUUUCUUGGAGUAUUGGUAUGCUUCUGAUAGAUUACAGAAUGCUUUUCUUUACCAUAAGUAAUCUGGCUAGAAAGCAAAGGUUUUGUGUUUUAUCAGAAGAAAUCAUGCUAAAACUUCUUUAUGGAUAUUCUUGUAUGGAUAUGUGUUAUUGAUAUGUGUUCCAGAAAUUAUAUGAAAUUCCUAGAAAUCUUAUAUGUAUGUUAUCAUUUGUAAUUCUCAUUAUCAUCUUAAAAUGUUGUAUGUCACAGAAAUAACCAAAUUUCCUUGCCAACUGCAUUAUAAUGAAUUCUCAUUAGAUAUUUAAUCAUGAUCAUUUCUAGGUCUUUUGUCAUUUACAGUUAUUGUUUUACUCUGACGCUUUUUACAGAUGCGUUUCAUAUUCAGAGAUUUUCACGGAGAGGUCUCUGACAAGUAUUCUGGAAGAUAGGUUUCUGGUAAUGCUCAGAUCACACCGCUGACCUGGGUAGGAGUUUACGUGACACUAUAUUCAUGAAACUGCCAACCACAGGUCAAGGUCAACGAGAAUUAAUUACCUGGGAGCGAAUGAACGGAUGAGGGUCAUUACAGUUCUGUGACUUUUUUUGAAACACUGUUGGUUCUUUAACCUUUUGUUUUUUCCAGAUUUAGGGAAUCCUAUUCUCUUAAGCUAUCUAUGAUUUACAACGAUUUGGUAAAGUAUAUCUUUGUGAACAAAGGUGAAACAUUUAUCUUUUUCUCCCUACAUGAUCCCUCCAGAAUUAGAAAACGCUCAGUGAGUCUUCUUAUUUUCAUGGCAAUGUAGUUAUUUGCAUAAGUUCAAUAAGAUUCUAUUCUCCUUGUAAUAGGACACCAUUGGAAACAUUAUUUAAUUCCCAAGACUUUGACUGGAAGGUAUUAUUUGAGAAUGUGCAUAGACUCAGAUAUGACCAGACAGUUUGGAAAACCAACCUAUAGCCUGCUUACAGGGUUCCUGGCUGCCUUAUCAGGCCUCAGCUCUCCAAACUAAUGUUUCCAGUUUUUCUCCCACCCUCUGACUUGGAAUCAUUGAGAACUAAACCCGCCUUUUUCCUGAAGCCAUGCAAGCUGAAGUUGGACACUUUGAUAUAAGCUUAGAGAAGUCACAGCAGUUCACGUUGCCGCAGCAGCUUCAUGCUUGUUGCUGUGUGGCCACUCAGAAAGACCACCAGAGACAUUCAAGCUGCAAGCAGGGAAAAGAUGUCAGGUUGCCACUGCCUGCCCUCACUCCCUCUGGAGAUGCUUCGAACCCCACAUCUAGAAGCCUUACCUGGCUGCUUUCAGGACUCAGAAACCGGGAUUAUAGUCUGCUCCAAUCACUAACCAUUGGUUUUCCUUUGUUUCCGUAGAAACACCUUUUAUUAAAAACCUGAUGCAAGUAUGUGCGCCAUGUAGGCCUAACUUGGGGAAGCCACCUGCAUCGCCGCUUCCUGAAAUGAGACACAGCCUCUACUUGAACUGACCUACUCUCUGGACUAAGAGAGGGUUCAAUGAGAUAAAGACAACCCAGCAACUCAGGACAGGUUCAAACCUUCUUACACCAGGUGGCCAAGACAAUGAAGUAGUCCACAGUGGCACCCAAAUCUUUGACCAGGUUCCUCGGGCCCCCAAGGUCACUGACUUAGUUUUAUUGCAGGACACUUCAAAUUUGGGACCGUGGAUACAGACGAGAUUUCAGACUGCUGUCUGUGUGUUUAUUAUAGGAUUUGGGACUAGAAUCCUAUUUAGAUAUGUGCUUUCUGAGUUACAAUGCACCCUACCCCUGACUUAGCACAUCAGCUACGGAGGCAGUUACAUUCUCACCACCCUCACCUUUGACUCUGAUGGCUUGGCAUCACAGGCUGGGUGGUAGGGUGAGCCCUAACAGGUGGGGUUUUUCCUUUUUGUAACGCAAAUGCAUAACUUAAGCUUUGAUUGCCCAGGCCCCCACUUCAGAUAGGGCAUCAGCUUCAAGGAAGGCUACCUGGGAAAAGCACAUUGCUAUUAGCCACGCCAGAUACAGAGCCAGGCCACCUUCCCCACUGAGGUGGCUUUGUUUGGAAGAUCUUAUUUAAUUGCAGCGACUGACCAUUGGGGCACUUGUUUUAUUUUCUCUUUCUGCACUUUAAAUUCCUGCUUUCAUGUUUUAAAUUCACCAGUAAAGAGUGAGCCUAGGAAAACCCCAGGCCCCCACGCCAAGCCCCAGUAAAAGUAGGACCCCAGGCCUGUGCUCACAGUAUCCUUCUCUCCCUCCCUCCCUCCCUCCCUCCCUCCCUCCCUCUCUCUCUCUCUCCACCUCUCUGUCUCUCUAUCCCCCUGACCUCGCAGUGUGGCACCAGGUGUGCUGUGUAAUUUCCAGGUCCUGUAAGUAAUAAACCUUUAGUUUUUCAAGUUUCCCAAUAGUUAGUGCUGAGGGGUGUCUUGCCAUCAUAAUGAGAACCACAAGGGCCGGUUCAGCCACAGUGCUGGUUAUUGACAGGCUGGGGCCAGCACACAACAGCUAUUAAGAUUCCUUUUUGGUAUUUGAAUGAUCAAAUGACUAAUGUUAUGUGGCCUAUGUCGUGGGUUUGCACAACGUUUGGCACAAAGCAAGAAUGUGAUUGUGGUCCACCCAAGCCUCGCUGCAGAGGGGUGGUCUAAACAAAUUCUGGAAUAAACAGUUUCUGCUCUUUUUGACAUUCUGUUUAAGGGCAUUCUUUUCAGAUGUGGGAGUGCAUUCUGUGUCGUUAGCAGAACUGACUUUGUAUUUCAGACUUUGGGAGGAAGGUGCCUGGGUGUUUUCAUAGUAAAGGUUACUAUUAUUAGUUUUGCAAAUGGUUGACUGAUAAACAGAGAAAAGGAUGAAAUUUGUGGGAUAUGCUAACACCUACAGAUGCAUCCGUCUGGAAGGAAGGGUUGAAGUGGGGUACGGACAACUCAACAUUUGAAAAGAUAGCUUUUUCACAUGUCUAGCAGGAAUCUUCGUGCUGAUACUAUUAGACUGAACCAUAUUAAAUUACCAAUAUUUGACUGUCUUUACCCUACAAAAUGGCAGCUCCAUACGGCUCAACCAAAUAUGUUUUUCUAAAGAGGGAGCAGUAAUACACAGAUCCAGACCCAUGGACAACGCCUGCCUUUCUGCCACCCUUGCUUUCCUCUCUGACUUCUUUCUUUCCACUUUCUGAUAAAAACUUUAUUUAGUGCCAGCUUUGUUUCAGGCUUUAAUUUUAGGAAUAAUGUAUUUGAUUGGUUUCUUCUGUAUGUUCCCAACUUAACUUUAAUUUUACUUCUAUUGACAACUUCAUGGUACUCUGACACACUGCCGGCACAAGAGCUGGCUCAUGAAGGUACAGGGUAUCGGGAGAGCCAAUGAAGAUUCUGGUUUUGGUCUGGGACACGUCUCCAGUGAUGGCGCUCCUGCUUUGCCAUUUAGGUUUUGAGUCAGUUGCGGUGUGAGACCUCAAGUUACGAAACUAUGUAUGUCACAUUCACUGACCACACUCCGUUAAAUCUGCCCUUUCCUCUGCAGUCCUUUAUUUGAGUUUUUCAACAGAGGACUAAAAAAAAUGAAUGGAAGCAAUUUAAUUCCUAUGUUUCCCUGGCAAAGAUAAGAACAUAAAGAUUCCAGGAGAAGAACUGAAUGGUAACAAAGCUAAUGUCAAUAUUGAAGAGAAAUGUACAGUUUGGCUCGGAACAAGUGCUUGUCUGUAAGUUUGGAAUUAAUGGCAAGAAAAGUGAGGUUGCGUGGAAAAGAUGGGCACUUACGUGAAUGCUUCAAGGAAGAGUGGGGACAGACGAGGAGGAGCAGUGGGGCAGUUGGUGAUGGAGCAGAGACGUGUAUCCAGGCGCAGGUGUUGGGCACUCAGAUGUGACCCUGAGGCAGCUCGCCCGAGGAGGGGAGACCAUCCUACCCCUCCUCUGCCUCCUCUUUUUUUUGCCAGCGUGUGAAGUUGCGUCAAUAGCAGAUGUAUAUUCUCCAUACAAAUACUUUCAACCCCCGAGUCUUAGAAAACGGGGCAUCCUAACUCUCCACGUGCAGGGUCCAGGGCACGUGGACACAACCUCCUGGCAUUUCUGUCCUGGCAGCAUGGCUCCACUCGCCAGCGUCUGGAGGCAGGUGUUUCAUUGCACCGCUGUCGCUAGAUUACCACUCUCAUCAUCAGAGUGACCAGCUCUUCUCUACUUCUGCUAACGUUUUAAGGAAGUACGUUGGUCAGGGGCGCCCACGCUGACCAGCCACAUGGCCUGGGUGCCUUCAGGCUGUGGGCCACUGUGGGCAAGCCUGGGAUGUGAACUCGGGCUGCGACCCUGGGGCCGUUAAUGGCUGUCACGUGUCAUUGGAAUCGCAGUAGCAGCUGUUUAUAGAGAGAUGCUCCCAGUUGAAUCACUAUGUACUAAAUUUGUAGUUACCCAUCUGGAUAACAGAACAAGCUAUUGGCAGGAAGAAGAGGAAAAUUACACAAAUUUAACAGGGCAAAGUACGCAUGCCGCAUAUACUUUUCGCUCUGAAAUGCAAGAUUCAGUAAAGAUGAUUUCCACGUUUGGAGCUUGGCCUCCGGUGGGUUUAGCAUCACCCUCCUCUGAUGUGGUUCUUGUUGGUAGCACUCUGCUCCCCAGUCUCGGACUUUUCAGUGUUUCUCUCUGGGUGGCUCCGUCAAGUCCCCAUCAUGCUGUAGCAUCUUCCUGGAAAUGUCUCCUUUUUGACCAAGACUCAAGCUGCUGCUGCCCUUUGUCUGCUCUCCUGCUGCAGCCUUUCCUUUAUAUAAUGAUCUUCCGACGUCCAACAGUCUCCUAUUAUCCAGAAAGGACCCUGCUUUUGUAAUUUACAAAUAUUUACUAGCCACCAAGAAAACGCCAAACUUUCCACUAAAGAACUGAAACUUUGCCUUUGGACCCGGAGAGCCACACACAUGAUGGUAGGACAGAAGUACCCGGGCACGUCAAAUCACAUUCUAUCCUCAAUGAAUAAGCCCUGGGUGACUGAAAUACAUCACAGAUGGAUGAGAAAAUAUGAAAACAAAAAUACCUUCCUAAGUGAAACCAUACUGAUUUACCUUCUGUGAAAUAAGUGAAGUAGGAUGUUUCUUUCAAGGAUAUGGAAUGAAUCCAUGCAGUUUGCUAUAGUUGUUUUAAAGUAAACUAUAUUUUAAAAAUUUUGCGGGGGGGAUAACUAAGUUGACCAUUUUUCUUUCUGAAUGGAUAACAAAUAUUUUGCUCUUCAAAAGAGGAGAAUUAAUUAGGAAAAUCAAUAAGCAAGCCAUAGAACGGGAGAGAAUAUUUACAGUGCAUAUAUCAGACCAAAAGCUUGUGUCUCAAUAAUAUAAAGAACUACUAUAAUUUAUCAUAAAAGACAAACAACCAAAAAUGGGCAGAAUAGUUGAAUAGGCACCUCACAAAAGAAGAUACGUGAAUGGCAAUAUGAAAGGGAAAAUUGCUCAAUAUCACUAAUCAUUAGGGAAAUGCAAAUUAAAACCACAAUGAGAUACUUCAAUACACAUUAGAAUGUCAAUAACUUAAAAAGAUUGACAAUACAGCGUUGUCAAGGAUUUGAUCCUAACUCUCAAAUAUGGCCAACAGAGUGUAAAAUGGAAUAGUCUGGGAAAAUGUUUGGCACUUUUUCAAAAAGUUAAACAUGCAUCUUCCCUGUGUCCCAGAAAUUCCACUCUCAGAUAUUCAUCUAAGAGAGAGAACAUACAGGUCCACAAAACACCUCAUGUGAGCAUGGUCAUCGAAGCUUUGUUCGUAGUAUCAAGAACAAGAACAAGCCCUGAGGUCCGUCACCAGGAAAGCGGAGGCGCUGUGGUGUGUGUAUACAGGGGAUACUUCUCACCGAUACAGGCGUACGCUUCUGAUACGCGUAGUAACGUUAAUGGAUCUCACCUAUUAUGCUGAGUGAAAGAAGCCAGACGGAAAAGAGUACACAGUCUAUGACAGACAUUACAUGAAGUUCCAGAAGAAUUCAAAAAAAACUAUGACAAGAGAAAUCAGACGGCAUCAGGGGCCUGUCUGGGUAGGGACAGAGGCACCUUCUGGGGUCGUGGACACCUUCUGUCACCCGUGUGGGUUCCUUGAGUGAAUGCAUUUGGAAAAGAGAAUGUGCUUCUAUAUGUAAUGACGUCUCAAUAAAAUGUUUCCUAAAAGAAAAACAGACACAGAUGUGUGUGCAUAUUUCCAGUAAUGGUUGGGGAAUGUGACCAAACAACAAUUUUAGUGGUAAAACUGGAUCUAACUUCUGCAAUAUUUCAUCCAUUUGCUUAUUUAACAGCUCGCAUCCUGCACCCGCUGUGCUCCAGACCCUGUUCCGGGACUUGGGAGACCACGGUGCAGUGGGGACGUACAGUUCUGGAGCUGGCAGCCAGCCUGAGGACGGGCUUCCUGAAGGGGGCUGGGCUCCCCGCCUCCAUCUCAGUGGGAGACUUUGAUGGCAUCCGGGCUGCUCACCUCAGACAGCUGGGCUCAUUCCUCCAGAGCAACGACCAUGACUCUGUCCUAGGGGUCUUCAUGAUGAUGUUUUUAACUACCCUGCAGCCUACCAUUCAAAAACCAGAGCUCUAAUUCCAUCAGGUGUAAGUGCAAAAAAUAGAUUUUGAUGAGUGAGCAUUCCGGAAAAGAGGUAAGAGAAGUAAAUGUAAUAAGUAAAAAUUAUGCAAAGGGGAAAUUCAAAAUGUUGAGUAAUUUUCUACCCCAAAUAUUCCGACACCAUUUUAAGCUUCUUAACUCUGGGGCUAGUGCUGCCUUCCUCUCUCUGUUGCUCAAAUAUCACUGCAGUUGGCUGUGUGCACACGGGCCUUCCUGCUACAUCUCCUGUCCUUUAGUUUAGUUUGUUUACAGAAUUGUUCUGGACGGACACGUGGGUGCACCUCUUUCUUCUCCACCCCAGGAACGCCUUUCUAGGUUGGAAGGCCCACACUUCUGUUCACGUUUUCUGAGCCCUUGCUCUCUUGUCUUUACAUGAAAACUUGCUUGCGUCCCUGUCCUGUCCUUUCUAACGUCUUCAGUCCUUGAUGCUAAAGGGCCGACCGAACAACAUUCAGGCAAGAGUCAGUGGGGCUGGGUCCCAGGAGCACAGCGCUCACACAGGCCCUUCAGAACCACAGGCCUGCACGGCGUUGCUGGCGCAGGGGUCAGCAUGGCCCGAAGGCCUUUUGUUUCCACGUUGCCUAAAUGUUCAUCUUCUCCCCACGUGUGAUGGUGUGUCUGCUGUGCUGCACCAGAGGAAAUCACCACUUCAUGCAUGUUUUUCUUUUGCCUCAACAGAUUCAAAUGUUAUGAGGUUUGUCAGGAAUUCCCUUGAGUUUGUACCAAAUCUUUGUAUCUCUUUUCCUUCAUAUUAGACAAACAUGUUUGACAUAAACUAUUUCAAGGACUGCAAAUAGAGGAGAGCUCUGAAUGGAUGGCUUUUACUUUAUGGAGAGUUAAUAAAUCUCAGAAAAUAAUAAUCUGGGCAGGAUGCAAUGAAGCUGAAUAGUUAAUCUGCAUAGAAUCAAGUAUGUGAUAUGGAGCCCACGUUCCACGUGGCAGAGUCCCAGUUCCAGACAAUCACCGCCCAGACUGCCAAGAAACCAGGACUUGGGGAAACUAUGUCAGCCUUUGAAACGAUAUGAGCUGUAGGCGGAUUAUUGACUAAUCAUAGAACAGGUGGCUCAUUUAAAAAUUCUUCUUAUUUCAAGCGAGUGAUAAUUUUUGUAUUGGUUGUGAAUCUUAAGGGCAUAGAAAGGUGGAAGAAAUAUUGGAAAGGGAGUUAGUGCUGGCACAAGAGUUUGCUGUGAUAACACUGCAGAACGAUCCGCAUACCUGCUGGCUCCGUGCUCCUGGGCAGUUGAGAGUCAGGCGGAGGUCCCUUCACCUGGGGCGCACAGCCACCUGGAAUGGCUCUUCCUGGGUCAGAGGGCAAAAGUGCAAGGUGUCCAGCAAACUCUGCCCUUUGUGGCCUUGGCCAGCAUCACGUCUCUCCAUAUUCCAAGGUAUAUCACAGGACCAUGGCCAAUUCACCUCUCCCUGUGGAGGCUCAGUGGAACUCCAGGACUGGGGGCUGGGGGCACAGUUCUCCAGGGCACAGGAGAGCUGUCUGAGGCCUACGCGCAGCUGGGUGUGAAGGCGUGUGGCUUGGAUGAGACAAUAUUUGUGCACAAACCGCUUUUCUCUGUGAUCCUCACGUGUGUCCGUGUGACAGUAAGGAGCCACAGCAGCAGUGCAGCCACAGCACAGCGACCCUGUUCCCUUCCCAGAUGGCAGUGAUACGGAACAGGAGAAAUACUUGUCCAACUACUGCUACUAAUAUUAGAGGAAGGAAUGAUUCCGUUGAUUCCUGAUGACCCUCUGCUCGGUUAUGGAUCCCCAGCUGUCCUUGCUGUACCUGGAGUUGGGCUCGGUUCCAUGCUGAGGUUUCUCUCCCCUACUGCAGUAGCUCAGGUAAAAUCUGUCCUGUCAUUCCAACAAACGUGCAGCACAUUUUAUAUAUAUAUGGCAUCCAACUGAUGUGUUCGAAGAUCACGUAUGUGCUGGUGGCGUAGACAUCGAUUCUUUUCUUCAUUUCCUUAAUGCCUGCUGGAUAUUCCCAUCUGUCACCCCACACGCAAUCCAAACGGACAUCCUAAUCUGGACUCAUUAUCUGUCAUCCCCAGCCGGCCUCUCUCUGGGUUCCAUUCUGUCAGUAGCCCCAUCACCCAUCCAUUCACCAAGCUGGAGACCUCAGAGCCCCCUUGGGCACCUCUGUGCUGGGCCUCACCUCCACCCCGAACAUUUCUCAGUAAACAAAAUUAUUUUAAGAGAUUAGUUACAAGAUUAUCAAAGUGAAUUUAAGAAGCUAGAAACGAGCUCAUCCAUUGAGUGGCCACAGCAAAACGCCUCCCACAAUUGCAGAAGUUACCAUGUUUGGGCCCAGCAAGGCAAAGGGGAUAGAGGAGAUGCCUCUUCUGUGCUAUUGAGAGGCAUCUAUCCGCUGACACAGAGACAAGACCAAUCCAGAAGACUGUUAAGUCAAAAAGCCCUUAUUGCAGAAGGAUGAUUCUGUGUAUAGACAUUAGUAAUUGUUAAAAACCCCUGUAGAAUCCCUGAAGAGAAAUUCGUGGAAGAAAAUAAUUUGUCCUGAAGGCGGUACCAUAACAAGCAUCUGGAUGAAUAUCAAAAGCAGUGUUUGAAACAAAUGAGGUCGAUGGAAACCCCACCUGCGUCUGUCUGUCUACCAUUCCUGUGGGUGCAGUAAGAGGAGAUGGAAGGCUCUGAACCAAGAGUUCACUCUGGAAACCCAAGGUUCAAGGAGUGCACAGUUUUAAUCACAUAAAGAGAGAAGCUCUUUAUGUUAAAAAUAUUCCUGUAGCUCUAAUUUCCACACUACACGUGUUAUCUAAAUGAUGAAUUAGUAAAAUCCAAGCCAUCGCUGUCCAUCCAGUUUUAUCUUUAUGAGAGGAAAUGUAAUCUGAAGACCACUCGAAUUUCUAAGCUGCCUGACUGCUUAAGGAAGUUUAACCAAAUGUUUAUAAGAAAAAGAACGAAUUAGGAAAAAAAAAAAAACGUGACAUUUUGUGAGCUAUUCUUACUUUGAAGAUUUGUUUAUGAUAGUAGUGUCUUAUAAAAAUUGUUCACUUAAUUGACGUAUGUGAGGUCCAAAGUGUAAACAAUUGAAAUAUAUUAACAUGUAGUGAAAAAGUCCACAAAUGUAAAGCAAAAGUCCAGCUUUGGAAAAGUAAUGUUAAAGAUGGCUUUGCAGUCAUGUGUGGUUGGUGUUAUAAUUUGAAGCCAAAAGAACAAAAUUAGUAGAGAAACAUCUGUAUAUUCUUGUGGAAGAGUUUCUUUAUUUUGAAAUAGUUGAAUUUAAAAGUUCUGCUGAAUUAGAAAUCCUUUUGCAUCAUCAAAACAAAUCUCAACUACGUCAGUCAGUGAGAGAAAAGCAAGUUAGAUUCAUAAAUGAUCACACAUUUUAAGUCUAUUUUAAUGAGAUCAAUUUUUCCAAUUUUGUUUAAUGGCAAGACAGGACAUUCAGUCAAUUAGAGGACGAAGUGAUACCUUGUCUGCUCAUGAGUACAAAGACUUGUUUUUUAAGCAAUGGUGAUUAUCAGAAUGAUUCGGCAAAAAUUCUGAGUCAGAUUCCUGUAGCCAAUUUGUUUACAAAGCCUGAUAUAAAAGAGUGAUAUUUGCAAGCACAUGCUAAAGUUUUCAUUUAAAGUUUGAAACUAUUGUUGUUGGAAGUGUUCCAGCUCAGCAUUUAAGGAUCUCUCUAAUGUUUGAUGUUUCACUUUUCCCUCAAGGUCAUAUAAUAUAAAGAAAGGAGGAGUGCGUUUUCGCUUGCCUCGCCCACGUAGGUGCUCCUGCGUCCCCCGGUUCACCCUGGGCGCCAGCCAGCCAGGCGUUUCUGUGUUGUGGCCGUGUGGAAACUUGGGAGGCCCAGGGCACGCGCAAAAGCAGACCUGCCUUGUGGCCUCCCUGCCGCCUUCGCAGCACAUCCGUCCCUCCUGGCCGGGAUCGCAACCACCAUCCUUGAACAGUCGCCCCGUUCCCAUAGCGCUCCCCGCACAUGAGAGUCCCCAGCUUCAGAGCUCAGCCCAAGUGUACGCUCCGCUUGCCCUCCCCGUCCUGGGACCCCAGCCGCCCCCCUCAGCUCUGUCCUCCCGCAGCCCACGAACUCCUUGAAGCAAAGGCUGGAUGUCACGACUCUGCAUCUCCAGCUGCUACGCAGGGCGGAUGCCUGCAGUUCGGUUCUGUUUGCUGAGCCGGGUGGGCCGGUGCCCGGCGCUCCACACAGCCCCACCACGCAUGUGGGAGAGGCCAGCUCUCUGGUCUUCCGGCUCCAUGUUUUUUCUCUAAGUGACAGAGCCUGCUUUUAAAUAAAGCACACCUCACUGGGAGGCCCCAUAUAUGAAAACAGAUUUGGGGGGCAGUUCAGGUAGCAGAGGGAGUGGGGACCCCAACACUGCCACAUUCUCCCUCCCACCUGACCCAACACGCGAGGACUCAGGGGCUCAUGAGUCCAGGGAAAUUAAGCUUCCCAUUUGCCCAGCCCAGCUCAGGGGUUCAGCUGUCACGGCUACCGCUGGACUGCACGGGGCCCGGGGGCCGUGAGCGUCCACAGCCCCACCUCCGGCUGCAGCCGGGAGGCUCCGGGCCAGAGCUCCGCUGGGUGGGGAGGACGGCGCAGCAAGGCGGGUGCUGGUGCUGGCGUGGAGCCGUGCUCUGCACCACCCGCCUCACCCCUGCAGUUCCAGUUUCAGCUGGGGCGGAGGGAAAGUUCCACGGCGACGACUAAUCUCGUCUUUAAAUUUCCAUCUGUAGUAACAACAACAGUGCCUAACCCUAUAUAGUGCUGCUGGGUGACAGGCACCAUCUAAGACAUGCCUCUGUCCACAUAUUACCUCAGCCAGGCCUCCCGCCUAUUCUCGACCCCACGUUAUAGCCACGGACACUGAGCCCAAGGCAGGUGCUUGUGGCCUGAGAGCUGGAAGUGGAGCCAGGGCAGCCCGGACCUAGGGUGCAGGCUUGUAGUCACGACGCAAAGUGGAGAGCCCAGAAAGGUCUCCAAUGAGCAUUGAUGAGGGAUUUCACGGCAGCAGAAGGGAGCCGUGGGCUCACUACAGUCACGUUUGAGGUUUUCCAUUCACUCAGGAUUGAGGCAAAACCAGAAACAUUCAAAAACGUGAGAAGCAGGCCCCAAAGCUAUGGUCUGCAUGUGACCCCUGCUCUUCUGACGGUGAUGUGGUGUUUUUAAUCAGCCCAGCUCCAGCCCAUCAUGGUAAGCUUGCGUUGUCUGCAUUUGAAGGUGCUGAUGAUUACAAGCCCAUGCCUCCCUGUGCGCCCAGCCCUCUCCUAGGCCCUGACUUAACCCCCUGCCUGAGCCUAUGGGGGGAGCAGAGAACUAGGGGAGCCCUGGGGGCGGGUAACAGCCUCUGCUGCAUGCAAGGGGCCUCUGGCCCUUGUUGGUCACCGACUCUCCCAGAGGAGAGGGGAGCAGAAGACAAGGUGAGGCAGGAUGGGCCUGUGCUGCUGGCUGGUGGCCCCAAUCCAAGACCAAGAGCAGCGCUGGAGUCUCACCCGGAAAGCGUCCGCCCUCCAUGGCCGUCCACAGCCAUGCAGGUCCUUUUCCUAGAUUUCACCUCCCACAAGGUCUGGUUGCCUCAAAGAUUCAAAGUCUAAACCACCACAGACCAAGGGCCUGCCCUCCCCCAAGGACAAGCUGCUCCACUGGGAGGGCGCUGACCUCGGCCCGGGAUUCCGAGAUGCGGCUGGAACACGGGCAGCCCUGCAGGCUCGGGCAGCAUCACUGCACCGGGCGGCCAACGUGAUGCCCAGAAACGCUUCUCCAGUUUCGCAGGAAGCCCAGUCACAUCUGGGGGCCCCUGAUGCCGUCCACCGACACCUGUGCUGCGAAUGCCCUGAGCCACAAACAUGGGCUCCUGGAGGACAGCGGGUUAUGAAAUCUCACUGCAGAGCGUUCGUCCAGAGGAACCCAUCCUUAAAUGACCUGUGAACUGGGCAGUGACGGGUGGGCGGAGAGCACGUAACAGACGCGUGUAGACAUGGUUUUCUAUUCCAGCGAUGAUGGCAGUUAUACCUGAGUCUAAGUUAUUAGCCUCAGGAGAGCAUAUUGUGAGGACACAGAAAGGCGUCCUGUGAAACCUAUGACUACAGACCUGACUGACACAGUUGAGGGGUGGCAAAGGCUCAGGUGAAAUAUCGUGUCUUUGUUUCGUUUUAGCAGAAAUGUCCCAACCACGUGUGGAAAAACACAUACGUGGAAGGCCUACCUGGUGGGUGUGCAGCCGACUCCUUCAAAGACAUUCUGCUUCCGAGCUGGUGUUUGAAUGUGCAUUUCAGGGGGCCACCUAGGAUGUGACAACAACAGCCUCUCCCUGACCCAGAAACACCACCCCAGCUGAUCAUGGAGCCCACAGUUCUACCAAAGCUGGCUGAACGAGGAGUAGCAUGUCUCUGUGGCCCCCACUGUUUCCAGCUGUGCCAUCGCCACUGGAAUCGACUAAGAUUAAAAGACUUGAGCUCAAACAUCCUGGAAUUUGCUACAGAGUCUGCAAGUUGGGUCAGUGGUGCAUCAGCUGUCUGAGAAGAGAAAGCAAUGCCAACCUCCUUCCAUGAGAACAUGAAGGAACAGUCAUGCAUAGGAACCUGUGUCAGGUAGAAUCUCAGUUCGCUUGUGCUGGGGAAGCAGAUUUCCACACUGGAAGCAGUCUUAUGGAGAGGCCCGUGUGGCUCAGCAAGCAUUGAAGCCCUCAUCCCCACCGUCCAUGAGGAACUGGAGCCUGCCAAGGCCAUGUGAGUGCAAGUGGACCCCUCCCCAUCCAGCUUCCAGAUGAGACCACAGCCCUGGCUGGCUGUUUGACUACAACCUCAUGAAAGACCUUGAACCAGAGGCCUCCAGAUAAACUCUGCACAGAUUCCUGAUGCACAGAAACUGUGAGGUCGUGACCCCAGUGGGCCUGCGCUGUGGGAGCCAGAAUCCAGGUUCCCGUGGGAUGUGACAGCCGCCAUCCAGUGCUGCAACCUUGGCCUGUGGCCUGACUGGAAGGCUGGGUUGGCCUGCUCCCGGCCGUCGGUCACCACACAGCCUGUCCCAGUCGUUUGACACCGAUUCAGCACAGGCUGGUCCCCAAAGCAAACAUGCGAAAUAGUUUUAUGAACAGAUGACACAAUCUUGGAAUGGCCAAACAUUUGGGAUAAAGCUUUACAUACAGGACUACUUUUAGGUGAAUUGUUUCUCCUGCUCAUCAUACUGAUUUCCUGGUGGAAAGAAAAAUACUUCUAAACAGGGAAAAUGUUUUCAAAAGAGCAACUCUAAAUUUUCCCCUCAAGACUAAAAUGCCGUGUGCUCCUUGCCCCAUGCGGCAGCCUCUCUGCAGGAGGACUUCUUGGGCCUGUAAGCUUCAUGGUUCUGGGAACUUCCCACCUCAGGCACAGGGUUGGUCCCCCUCCCCUGGGCUACAGCUGGUUGGAUGAACCAUGACCUUCUGACCUAAGUGGGCCCAUCAGAUCACACGUCCUGGAAAUCGGGAACUGACGCUCAGGACUGACGAGGAACCUUGGAGCAGUGGUGGCUGCCAACUCCCACAUGGGCAAGAGAAGCAAAUGAUGGAGUCUGCCUGUGCAGGGAACAGAGUGGUCCGUGCGGGGAAGGGAACUGAGUGGUCCUGUGUGGGGAACAGAGUGGUCCAUGCAGGGAACAGAGUGAUCUGUGCACAUGGCCCAGCUCCACUCCUCCUUUGAUGUCAGGCAUCACCACAUAUUCUUAUAAUAAAGGCCCCCUAUUUUUAUGCCAGGACAAGUGGGUUGCUACUUCUUACAACCAAUGCCCCUACCUGCUAUGACCUUUACACUUUUUGGUAAAUAUGGGAUGUUAGAAAUUCACAGGCACGUUCCUGUGGACUGGGUUUGGGCUCACAGCUGAUAAUAUCUGGACUCCCUCCUGCACUCUCCUCACACUCUGAGCACCCCCCUUUCAUUCUUGGGGGUGGGAUGAGGUGAUGCAUGGUGGGAGGGUCUCCAAGCCUCAUGUGGGACCCCAGGAGGGCCCAGGCUUCCAUUGCACUUGGGGGAGAGGUGGGGUAGUCAUCACUCUGCCUGUCUUUCUCUCAAAAAUUAAAAAAUGUAAAAUGGGACUGUCUGUCUCUUUGCGUUUUGGAAGCUCUUAGAUGCAUGAAGGAAAGACUCCAUGAGGCUUUGGUUGAGAAGAAUGCGCUCACCUCGUGUCCCGUGUCUCACAGCUGUGAUUCACCCCAGGGACCACCCUAUUCUCCAUUGCCAGUGUGUCAGUGGCGUCCUGGCUGAAAUUUCCCUCAGGGAGACUUAGGGCUGUAAGAGGCCUUGGUGACUGUAUGCAUUGGCUUCUGCGUUUUAGAUGAGGAAGCCAAGGCUUUGAAAGAGAAGUUAAUUCCCUAAGUUACAGAACUAAUUAAAAGCAGAUUCUGGGGCUAAAACUCAAAUUUCCCGACUUCCAGUCCAAACUCUUCAUGGUCUUAACUAUUUUAAAUUACUUUUUAAUCAUAUAUCUCAGCCUUCACAAGAAGGCCUCUUUCCAGCUCAUCCUGAAUCAUUGCUUUGUGUUGCAUGCUUAACUGAAUUGUCUGUAUCUUUAGGACAGCUUAGAAUCAAAAGCCCUUUCUGGCAGAAUAAAUCCAGUUUUCAGAAGUUUCUCUCCAACUCAGCCAUAGGCAAUUUCUUCCUCCUAGACCGUAGGAAAUAAUUUUAAAUUUCCUGUUCCUUUUGUGUUUUCUUUUCUCCUCUCUGAUCCAAAGAAAACCAUAAAAGAUAUUACAACUAAUCAUGACUAGAAACAUUUCUACAUUAGCAGCAUGAAUCUUCGGGUUUGUCUAAUCAGAAGAAAUUGUCUUAAUAUUUACCUUUUAUGUAUGUAUUUAUCUGUUGUUUGUUUGGCAAAGCCUGUGCUUGAACAACAUUGAUAAAGUGCUGAGUUUGGGCUUGGAGUGUUUGCCCAAAUAUGCUUUCAAUACCCAAAAUCUUGGGCGAGUUUCCACAAACUGCUCAGCUGCAGCCGUAGGCUAACGUGAGAACAACUAGUUGGUAGUCCAUCCACACUGUGUUUCUUCCGUACUUGAGAGAAGAUGUCUGCUCACCAUCAGAAACCAGGACGACUCCCGAGAGCAGGUCACAUGAUGCUGCGUGUCGGCACUGCCUUCUGGGUACAGGAGGCUCUUCCUACCACCUGCCCUCGCCUUCCUCCCUUUCUUCCUGGAGACAGUUACCCGAGGAAACACCAAGUCAUCGAGCGUGUGUGCACGUGUGUGUGCAUCUGUGAACAUGUGCAUGUGUGUAAGAGUGUGUGUGAGCACAUGAACAUGUGUGCCCCUGUGUGUGCAUAUGUGAACGUGUGUGUGCCCGUGUGAGCCUGCAUAUGUGUUUGAGUGUUUUGGAUGCUCUGGUGUGAUAAUUGACUUAUAGAUCAAUAGGAAAGGAUACAUAAUCUUAAAAUUGCCCUAAACAGACGUAAGAACUUAAUUUAUAAUAAUGGCAGCAUCAUGCUCUAGUGUGGGAAAGGGUGAAUGUUGUAAAAGCUGGGGUUUGGGAAAGUCAAGUUUUGUUUGUAUCAGGUUGGAAUAUUAUCUCUAUUAUGUACCAAAAUAAUCUCCAGAUAUGUUGAGUUGUAUGUAAAAGUUUGAAUUUGGAAGGAACUUAGCAAUUUAUAGCUUAGAGGUGAUUAGUUGUAAAUGCACAUCAUCUCGCAUCUCAUUCUCUUGCAAAAAUACACCAAACUAAGACAAGAGAAUUCUGUUGAAAAAGCCACAAGGAUGAGAUAUAGAGGAGUGGAAUAAAAUAGCAAUAAAGUU
Globicephala melas (long-finned pilot whale) is the source of this 21386-nucleotide non-coding RNA. The record is from RefSeq and is a predicted model, not a curated record. Lineage: Eukaryota; Metazoa; Chordata; Mammalia; Artiodactyla; Delphinidae.